CACGUAGGGGGCGAGCGUUGUUCGGAAUCAUUGGGCGUAAAGGGCGUGCAGGCGGUCCUGCAAGUCCGGCGUGAAAGACCCCGGCCCAACCGGGGGGGCGCGCUGGAAACUGGAGGGCUUGAGUACAGGAGGGGAUGCCGGAAUUCCAGGUGUAGGGGUGAAAUCUGUAGAUAUCUGGAAGAACACCAAUGGCGAAGGCAGGCAUCUGGCCAUGUACUGACGCUGAGACGCGAAGGUGCGGGGAGCAAACAGGUUUAGAUACC
RNAcentral lists this ribosomal RNA (263 nucleotides) under uncultured bacterium. Its description in RNAcentral is "partial 16S ribosomal RNA". It matches the Rfam family "Bacterial small subunit ribosomal RNA", at positions 524 to 786 of the family's 1533-position model. The record is from RNAcentral.